UGGGGAAUAUUGCACAAUGGGCGAAAGCCUGAUGCAGCAACGCCGCGUGAGUGAUGAAGGCCUUCGGGUUGUAAAGCUCUGUCUUCUGGGACGAUAAUGACGGUACCAGAGGAGGAAGCCACGGCUAACUACGUGCCAGCAGCCGCGGUAAUACGUAGGUGGCAAGCGUUGUCCGGAUUUACUGGGCGUAAAGGAUGCGUAGGCGGAUACUUAAGUCAGAUGUGAAAAUCCCGGGCUUAACUUGGGAACUGCAUUUGAAACUGGGUAUCGAGAGUGCGGAAGAGGAAAGUGGAAUUCCGAGUGUAGCGGUGAAAUGCGUAGAGAUUAGGAAGAACACCAGUGGCGAAGGCGACUUUCUGGACCGUAACUGACGCUGAGGCAUGAAAGCGUGGGGAGCAAACA
Molecule: ribosomal RNA, 402 nt
Filed under: uncultured bacterium
Lineage: Bacteria
Description: bacterial SSU rRNA
Rfam family: Bacterial small subunit ribosomal RNA
Source: RNAcentral